AUUGAACGCUGGCGGCAGGCCUAACACAUGCAAGUCGAGCGGAUGAAGGGAGCUUUCUCCUGGAUUCAGCGGCGGACGGGUGUGUAAUGCCUAGGAAUCUGCCUGGUAGUGUGGGAUAACGUCCGGAAACGGGCGCUAAUACCGCAUACGUCCUGAGGUAGAAAGUGGGGGAUCUUCGGACCUCACGCUAUCAGAUGAGCCUAGGUCGGAUUAGCUAGUUGGUGGGGUAAAGGCCUACCAAGGCGACGAUCCGUAACUGGUCUGAGAGGAUGAUCAGUCACACUGGAACUGAGACACGGUACAGACUCCUACGGGAGGCAGCAGUGGGGAAUAUUGGACAAUGGGCGAAAGCAUGAUCCAGCAAUGCCGCGUGUGUGAAGAAGGUCUUCGGAUUGUAAAGCACUUUAAGUUGGGAGGAAGGGAAGUAAGUUAAUACAUUGCGGUUUUGACGUUACCAACAGAAAAAGCACCGGCUAACUACGUG
RNAcentral lists this ribosomal RNA (484 nucleotides) under uncultured bacterium. RNAcentral describes it as "partial 16S ribosomal RNA". It matches the Rfam family "Bacterial small subunit ribosomal RNA", at positions 30 to 507 of the family's 1533-position model. The record is from RNAcentral.